ACUUAUGCUGUUAUCUACUGUUAUUUUCCUUCAGAACUUUCAGACCCAUAUUUCAGUACAAGGCUCACAGGCUCUUAUUGAAGUAGAUCAGAGUGAACAAAAAUACAGCAUAAUCAAGUGUGGGAUUCGUUGAAAGACUUUCCAAACCUAAAAGUGGGUGGUUUGCUGCCUGACCCUGAGAUACCUAAAGGAGAAACUAGUGUGACCACAACUGAUGAUGCAUCUCUGGGCAGAGAAGCUAAAGGAAAAAAAACAACAAAAAGCUG
This is a non-coding RNA of Pogona vitticeps (central bearded dragon), 266 nucleotides long. The record is from RefSeq and is a predicted model, not a curated record. NCBI's taxonomy places the organism in Eukaryota, Metazoa, Chordata, Lepidosauria, Squamata, Agamidae.